GAGUUUGAUCUUGGCUCAGGAUGAACGCUAGCGGCAGGCCUAACACAUGCAAGUCGAGGGGUAGAGUUAGCUUGCUAACUUGAGACCGGCGCACGGGUGCGUAACGCGUAUGCAAUCUACCUUGUACAGGGGGAUAGCCCAGAGAAAUUUGGAUUAAUACCCCAUAGUGUUAUGAUGUGGCAUCGCAUUAUAACUAAAGUUCCAACGGUACAAGAUGAGCAUGCGUCCCAUUAGCUAGUUGGUGUGGUAACGGCAUACCAAGGCAAUGAUGGGUAGGGGUCCUGAGAGGGAGAUCCCCCACACUGGUACUGAGACACGGACCAGACUCCUACGGGAGGCAGCAGUGAGGAAUAUUGGUCAAUGGGCGCAAGCCUGAACCAGCCAUGCCGCGUGCAGGAUGACGGUCCUAUGGAUUGAAACUGCUUUUGUACGGGAAGAAACACUCCUACGUGUAGGAGCUUGACGGUACCGUAAGAAUAAGGAUCGGCUAACUCCGUGCCAGCA
This 504-nucleotide ribosomal RNA is filed under the name uncultured Flavobacterium sp. Its description in RNAcentral is "bacterial SSU rRNA". It matches the Rfam family "Bacterial small subunit ribosomal RNA", at positions 9 to 513 of the family's 1533-position model. Lineage: Bacteria; Pseudomonadati; Bacteroidota; Flavobacteriia; Flavobacteriales; Flavobacteriaceae. The record is from RNAcentral.